UGCGUUGUGGCUCAGAGGUUGAGUACACGCCUAGCAUGUGCGAGGCACUGGGUUCAAUCCUCAGCACCACAU
This 72-nucleotide transfer RNA is filed under the name Marmota monax (woodchuck). It matches the Rfam family "tRNA". Rfam says of the family: Transfer RNA (tRNA) molecules are approximately 80 nucleotides in length. The record is from Rfam by way of RNAcentral. Lineage: Eukaryota; Metazoa; Chordata; Mammalia; Rodentia; Sciuridae.